RNAcentral lists this long non-coding RNA (202 nucleotides) under Elaeis guineensis (African oil palm). Its description in RNAcentral is "long non-coding RNA (EGUI_LNC016126)". The record is from RNAcentral. Lineage: Eukaryota; Viridiplantae; Streptophyta; Magnoliopsida; Arecales; Arecaceae.
UAUAAAUUCGUACAGGAGUGCCUGCCAAACUCAAAUAAACCGAACCCCACACCAAACUACGUACACAAAAGCAUCAGGAAAAAAAGCCAAAGAAAAAUGCAGUAGGAGAGAGAGAGGCGGCGAGCAAGCGUGCUCGGGCAUGACAAUGACAGCACUCUGUAAAGAAAGGCGAUAAGUCCUUGCAAGAGGAGGUGGGGGAGGG